This 348-nucleotide ribosomal RNA is filed under the name uncultured bacterium. RNAcentral's name for it is "bacterial SSU rRNA". It matches the Rfam family "Bacterial small subunit ribosomal RNA", at positions 458 to 793 of the family's 1533-position model. The record is from RNAcentral.
CUGUUCAGGUAUUGACGGUAGUUUAACCAGAAAGCCACGGCAACUACGUGCCAGCAGCCGCGGUAAUACGUAGGUGGCAAGCGUUGUCCGGAGUUUAUUGGGCGUAAAGACGAGCGCAGGCGGUUUUUAAGGUUCUUGAUGUGAAAGACCUUCGGCUCAACCGAACGAAAGUAGCAUCGGAAACUAGGGAAACGUUAGAGUGCAGAAGAGGACAGUGGAACUCCAUGUGUAGCGGUGAAAAUGCGUAGAUAUAUGGAAGAACACCAGUGGCGAAGGCGGCUGUCUGGUCCGUAACUGACGCUGAGGCUCGAAAGUAUGGGUAGCAAACAGGAUUAGAUACCCUGGUAG